This 402-nucleotide unclassified non-coding RNA is filed under the name soil metagenome. RNAcentral describes it as "partial contains 5.8S ribosomal RNA, internal transcribed spacer 2, and large subunit ribosomal RNA". The stretch from base 1 to 120 matches the Rfam family "5.8S ribosomal RNA", at positions 35 to 154 of the family's 154-position model. The record is from RNAcentral.
GAUGAAGAACGUAGCGAAAUGCGAUAAGUAAUGUGAAUUGCAGAAUUCAGUGAAUCAUCGAAUCUUUGAACGCACCUUGCGCCCUUUGGACUUCUGAAGGGCAUGCCUGUUUGAGUAUCAUGAACACCUCAACUCCUUAUGGUCUUCCAUGAUGAGCUUGGACUUUGGGGGUUUUGCUGGCCUACAGUCAGCUCCUCUAAAAUAAAUCAGCUUACCGGUGUUUGGUGGGUAUCAUGGGUGUGAUAACUAUCUACGCUCGUGGUUUUCCACCAGGUAACCUUCAGCAGUGGAGGUUCACUGGAGCUCAUAGAUGUCUCUCCUCAGCGAGGACAGCCCUUUGAAUGUUUGAUCUCAAAUCAGGUAGGACUACCCGCUGAACUUAAGCAUAUCAUAAGCGGAGGA